GAGCGGGGAUUAUAUUGGUGCUUGCACUAAUAUAAUUCUAGCGGCGGACGGGUGAGUAACACGUGGAUAACCUGUCGACUACUGCGGAAUAACUAUGAGAAAUCAUAGCUAAUACCGCAUAAGCUCACACUUUGGCAUCAUCGAGUGAGAAAAGAUUUAUCGGUAGUUGAGGGGUCCGCGCCUGAUUAGCUAGUUGGUAGGGUAGAAGCCUACCAAGGCGACGAUCAGUAGCCGGCCUGAGAGGGUGAUCGGCCACAUUGGGACUGAGACACGGCCCAAACUCCUACGGGAGGCAGCAGUGGGGAAUAUUGCGCAAUGGGCGAAAGCCUGACGCAGCAACGCCGCGUGAGGGAAGAAGGGUUUCGGCUCGUAAACCUCUAUCGAUGGGGAAGAAGGCUCCGCAAGGAGAUUGACGGUACCCCAAGUAAGAAGCCCCGGCUAACUACGUGCCAGCAGCCGCGGUAAU
This 466-nucleotide ribosomal RNA is filed under the name uncultured bacterium. RNAcentral's name for it is "bacterial SSU rRNA". It matches the Rfam family "Bacterial small subunit ribosomal RNA", at positions 64 to 524 of the family's 1533-position model. The record is from RNAcentral.